GUGUGAAUCCCAGGGCGCUUCUCCUUUGGCACGGCGGCCGGCAUGUGUUGGUGAUAGGAGGCAGGAGCUAUAGCGAGUUGAGUCGAAGAAGGUCCAUGCACGGAAGCUACCUAGCUAGCCUUGUGGUGCGUGCCAAAGGAGAAUUGCCCUGCGAUUCACCU
This 161-nucleotide microRNA precursor is filed under the name Triticum aestivum (bread wheat). Its description in RNAcentral is "mir-399 microRNA precursor family". It matches the Rfam family "mir-399 microRNA precursor family". From Rfam's summary of the family: mir-399 was identified in both Arabidopsis thaliana and Oryza sativa computationally and was later experimentally verified. mir-399 is thought to target mRNAs coding for a phosphatase transporter. The mature sequence is excised from the 3' arm of the hairpin. Lineage: Eukaryota; Viridiplantae; Streptophyta; Magnoliopsida; Poales; Poaceae. The record is from Rfam by way of RNAcentral.